UUUCGACUAUGCUCACUUUGCCCUCACUGAAGGAAGAAAAGGUAACGAUCAGACUGCAGCGGUAAGUUCACCAUCCAAAGAGGCCUACAGGAAGCAAUUGGCUGAGACCAUGAAUCUCAAUCACACUCGGAUUCUCGCCUUCAGAAACAAACCUCAGGCUCCUGUAGAACUGCUUCCCAGCAAUCACUCUGCUUCUCUUCACCAACAGCCCAAAUCCGUAAAGCCUCGUCGAUACAUUCCUCAGGUUUGUUCUUGUUACUUUUGCGUUUGAAAUUAAAUAGCCACCUAGUUGUUACUUUGGAGUUGUAUUGACCUGUUGUUAAACUUUGUGUUGUAAUAAUAGACUUCUGAGAGAACCUUGGAUGCACCUGACAUUGUGGAUGAUUUCUACCUCAACUUGCUGGACUGGGGCAGUGCAAAUGUCUUAGCCAUAGCCUUGGACCACACUGUCUACUUGUGGGAUGCUUCCACUGGUUCUACAUCUGAGCUUGUGACCAUUGAUGAAGAGAAGGGACCUGUCACAAGUAUCAACUGGGCUCCUGAUGGUCGUCAUGUUGCUGUUGGACUCAACAACUCUGAAGUCCAGCUGUGGGAUUCUGCAUCCAACCGUCAAGUAAUUACUAUAAUCCUUCUCUUAUUUUGAGAUAUAAUAUCCUGUUUGUCAUGUCUUAACCUUUGAAUUGGACUUUUCUGCAGCUGAGAACAUUGAGUGGUUGCCACCAGUCUAGAGUAGGAUCACUGGCAUGGAACAAUCAUAUCUUAACAACUGGAGGAAUGGACGGACAGAUUGUCAACAACGAUGUACGGAUCAGAUCACAUAUUGUGGAAACCUACAGGGGUCACACCCAAGAGGUUUGUGGUCUCAAGUGGUCAGGAUCUGGACAGCAACUAGCAAGUGGAGGCAACGACAAUGUCGUACACAUAUGGGAUCGGUCUGUUGCUUCCUUAAACUCAACCACACAAUGGCUCCACAGGGUUGAGGAACAUACAUCUGCUGUGAAAGCUCUUGCGUGGUGCCCUUUCCAAGCGAAUUUGCUUGCAACAGGUGGUGGUGGAGGAGAUAGGACGAUCAAAUUCUGGAAUACUCACACCGGGGCUUGCUUGAAUUCAGUAGACACUGGCUCUCAAGUUUGUUCUUUGUUAUGGAGCAAGAAUGAAAGAGAGUUGCUUAGCUCACAUGGGUUUACACAGAAUCAGCUCACACUUUGGAAGUAUCCAUCCAUGGUGAAAAUGGCUGAGCUCAGUGGUCAUACAUCAAGAGUUCUAUAUAUGGCCCAGGUAAAGAAAAACAACUUAAUCAAUUUUAACUGUUCAAAGUAGUUAGAGAUGUUUGAGGUCUGUAGUCCUAAAACUUGUGUUUUUUUGUGUUGUGUUUCUUGCAGAGUCCUGAUGGUUGUACCGUAGCUUCAGCAGCAGGAGACGAGACUUUGAGGUUUUGGAAUGUUUUUGGAGUACCAGAGACUGCCAAAAAAGCUGCACCAAAAGCAGUUUCCGAGCCAUUUUCUCAUGUGAAUCGUAUUCGUUGAAGCUUGUGAAGACUAACAAGAAGGAGAGCCAUUGAUACAGCUGCAAAAUAUUCAAUUUUGUUUUCUCGGAUUCAUUCUUCAUGAAUUGUAUUGACAAGAAAAGUGCACAUUGUACAAUUUUAUAUAUGUAAAUUCUUGAGUCAAACUUAAUUGUACAAUGUUGAAUAGAAAGAAAGAUUUUGAUUAUAAAUGUAACAUGUCAGAUAAGCAGAGAAUACAUGUCAGAUGAUACAAGAAGCAUAAGGACUGUAAUCUGUAAGAUGGUAAUUGUAACUUCAUCAAAAUAGACAUUUAAAACCACGCUAAUCUAAUCACACUAGUGUGUAGUGUCAAGUGUGUACAGUGUAUUCUUACUGUGAUUGGAAUUUCGUAAGAGUUUUUUUUUUUUUUUUCAUUCUCAAGUACUCAUGCUAUGUAAUUGUGUUAUACUUCAUUCUCAGUUUAAUGAACUGAUUAAGCUUUUGUUGUAGUCUUUUCGCCCAAUAAAAAUAAAAUAUUCAGGUUAUAAAAAAUAAAACAAAAUAAAAUCUGUCCAUUAAAAAAAAGGGGAUAUAAAAUUUUUAUUUGAUAAAAUAAUAAUAAAACAAAUAUUAUCACACAUAACAAGUCUUUACCAUAAACCAGAGAUUAUUCACUAAAAAUCAUCCACCCUCUAACCCAAACCAAAUAUUAUGGAGGUUAAAACAAAAACAAUUAUUUACACGAAUCAUACAUCGAAAUACGUUGGAUGGUCUAAGGUAGAUGAUAAAUGGUUAUUGUGGUUCAUUUCCUGUAUGAAACUUUUUUUUGUUUUUGUAUAAUUCUAGAUUGAAGGUAACUAUGGUGUUUAAUUUAUGUGAGUGUUAACCUCUUUUUAGUACCAAUAAUUAUUUAACUAUUUUCAUUAUUACUAUUGUUACAUUUCCUGUUUUUUCAAUAUACAAAUAUUAAAACGAGACAUAGAAUUAGGGUUGCCUAAUUGCCGUCUCUUCGGCGGUAUAGAGGGCUUUUUCCGUGAACAUAAUUUUCAACGGCUCUCUCAGAUUUAUAGCCGUUACCGACUUUCCGAUUAUAGAAUUAGACUCCCCCAAAACCCUAAAUUGACUCUACUGCUUUUAUAAAUAACCCCAAAUUUCGUACCUUUUCAAUCACCUUAAUCUGCUCUAGCUCUCUCAUCAUCAGCGAAGAACAACUCUUCGCUCUCUCUGCUCGAAUUCACUGACGAUCCCUUCUAGUUUGAUUUGAUUCGUCUUUAUCUAGUUUCGUUUAUAUCUUCUAAUCAAUUUCGUAUAUCAUCGCUUUUGUGUGUUUUGGGAUUUUCUUUGUGUUUAGUGAUAAUGGAUGCAGGUUUGAAUCGGUGCCCACUUCAAGAACACUUUCUUCCCAGAAAAAGUUCCAAGGAAAAUGUAAGUAUCUUACUUCAAUCUGAUUCCGUACUGCCGUUAAGAUUUAGGGUUCCAAGUGUGUGAGUGCUCUUUGAUUCUUCAGAUUCGAUACCAUUUUUAUGAUAUAGAAUUAGGGUUUAGAUUUGCGGGUUGUUCAUCUGAAUCCAAAAUUGUUUGACCCAUAUAAUUGAUUUGAUUCAGCUACUGUAUGAACGAAUUGUUGUUAUUGUCUUGCAUAGAUUUGAUUUGUGAUAUUGAAUGAAUUGUACUGAUUGAUUGCUUUUAUCUUCCACCAGCUUGACAGGUUCAUACCGAAUAGAUCAGCCAUGGAUUUCGACUAUGCUCACUUUGCCCUCACUGAAGGAAGAAAAGGUAACGAUCAGGCAUCAGCGGUAAGUUCACCAUCCAAAGAGGCCUACAGGAACCAAUUGGCUGAGACCAUGAAUCUCAAUCACACUCGGAUUCUCGCCUUCAGAAACAAACCUCAAGCUCCUGUAGAACUGCUUCCCAGCAAUCACUCUUCUUCUCUUCACCAACAACCCAAAUCCGUCAAGCCUCGUAGAUACAUUCCUCAGGUCUGUACUGUAUGUUUUGCGUUUGAUUUAAAGCCUACCUACUUGUUGCUGUUUUGGAGUUGUAUUGAUCUGUUGUUAAUCUUUUUGUUGUAAUGAUAGACUUCUGAGAGAACCUUAGAUGCACCUGACAUUGUGGAUGACUUCUACCUCAACUUGCUGGACUGGGGCAGUGCUAAUGUCCUAGCCAUAGCUUUGGGCCACACUGUUUAUUUGUGGGAUGCUUCCACUGGUUCUACAUCUGAGCUUGUGACCAUUGAUGAGGAGAAGGGACCUGUCACAAGUAUCAACUGGGCACCUGAUGGUCGUCAUGUUGCUGUUGGACUCAACAACUCUGAAGUCCAGCUUUGGGAUUCUGCAUCUAACCGUCAA
Molecule: long non-coding RNA, 3834 nt
Filed under: Arabidopsis lyrata
Lineage: Eukaryota; Viridiplantae; Streptophyta; Magnoliopsida; Brassicales; Brassicaceae
Description: long non-coding RNA (ALYR_LNC000771)
Source: RNAcentral